GCAAAUCAGCAGAGAAGCGUGGUAGGUUGCAGAUUCUGACUCUUAUCCUUGAGGUUAAAUGUUUUCUUUGAGAGCGUACUUGGUGUUUCUUAUCUGUCUUGUGUUCAGUUGGAUUUUGUUGCAUUUAUGAUUGUGUACGAGUUAAACAACUCUGCCCUUGAUAUUAUUUGUGAUUACUCUAAAAUCUGCACAAUGUUCGAUUAUAGGUACGCCCGACUUUUUUAUGGGG
This 229-nucleotide unclassified non-coding RNA is filed under the name Hevea brasiliensis (rubber tree). The record is from RNAcentral. Lineage: Eukaryota; Viridiplantae; Streptophyta; Magnoliopsida; Malpighiales; Euphorbiaceae.